UGGUGACUUUGAUGCCUGUCACAUUUUCGUGACGACGAAAGAGUAUUCACCCCAAUGGAAUGUUGUAGAAUACUAGGCCUACAGAAAAAAGAAUUCAUUCGUUAGAUUUUUUCACAUGGAUAUAGAUUCGAAAUAAUUGCCAAUAGGUUUGUAUUGGAUCGGUAGCUUUUUACAGGUGAAAUUUCCUAUAUCUAUUCUUAUUAACCUAAAAUCCUUAAAACAAUAUUAUUCUAAAAUGUCACAUAGUUCACCACAGCUUUCAAUGAACCAUCAAUUCUGUCUAAAUCUUGAAUUAGUUAUUGAGCAGUUUGCUGAAUUAUCCAUCCAUGAAAAUCAACAUGACACAAGCAGUCCACAACAUGAUGUUCAGCUUUUGAGAAAUCAAUGUGCCAAAAUUUUAAAUAGAUCCAAAGAUGACUAUAAAAUCAACUCAACCUCACAGAUUGAGUUUAAACAUGUGAUCCUGGCUAAUUGUGAAGAAAUAAGGACUAUUAAACGAACAAUAGUUUUAGAUGGCAGCUUUCAUGAUAAUAAACAGCUUCUAGAACCAGGUCAAUACCAAAUUAUUAGACCUAAAAUUAACGGUCAACCCAUCGAUCAUUGUUCACUGCUGAAUGUUCGAGAAAAUGACAUGGAUGAAUAUUUUGACCCAUUCGGCUAUCCACCGCCCAAAUGGAUAAAAAAUUGUCGUUAUAAUUUUAUAUGCCUUCAAAAUCCAUCCCAUAAAACCUGUGCAGUUCAUUGCAUGUGUGUUCUGAAGUUCUGGAAUCAAGGACUGACACUGCCACAAAUUAUUGAGCAAUACCAUGACCUACAGCCAGAUUUAAAUACUGACUACUACGAUGAUGUCGUCAUAGAUUUUUACUUGAGAGAAUUACGAUAUAAGUUAAAUGAUUACUGCUAGGUGAAAUGGUUUGAAAACUCAGGGUAGGAUGUGUAAUUUGGUGCAAUCUGAGAUAUAUUCGGCACAUGCCAAAAUUCCUAUUAGAGAAGCCUAUUACUUCCUUAGUUUACCUGCCAUCAUCACGUCAAUGCUGAAGUCACGGUCAAGAUUGCGAAGAUUAUCUUUAUACAAAAUAUUACUGCCAGUUUGACGGAGAUGUUAAUUUGGGGAGAUCCAAGCAAAUGAUUUAAAAAUUAAAUAAAAACAAAAUGAAAAUACGACAAAUAUAGAUUCUGCUAAAUCAAAAGAUAUCACUCUUAAUGGUAGAGUCAAUAAAAUGAAUAGAACAUUGGGAAAUAAACCCAAUAAGAUAAAUAGAAAAUUGGGUAAAUAAACCCAAUAAAAUAAAUAGAAAACUGGGAAAAAAGCAAACUGAAAAUACGACAAAAAUAAGAUUCUGCUAAAUAAAAAGAUAUCACUCUUAAUGGUAGAGUCAAUAAAAUAAAUAGAAAAUUGGGAAAUAAACCCAAUAAGAUAAAUAGAAAUCUGGGAAAUAAACCCAAUAAAAUAAAUAGAAAACUGGAAAAAAAAAACAAUAGAAAAUUAGGAAAUAAACCCAAUAGAAAACUGGGAAAUAAACCCAAUGUAAAUAAGAUGUCAUUCAGACGCGUCGUCAUUUCAUUAUUUGAUAGGCUAAAGUCAAUACCACGUGCAGUCGAUAAUUUUACACGUGCAUUGUUGAAGAUUGUUACGGUUAUGACGCAGAUUGCGAUGGGCGUUUAACAUAAUACAGUGGAGAAGAUCUAAAGUUCUAGCAAGAAAGCAAGAUAAAGAAAUACAACUAUAACGCCACCGCUAAGGCUUGCUUUCCAUGUACGCUUUUCCACGCGCGUGGGAAAAAAGUUGCUAUACCCUUAAUAUCAUAUUAUCAGAGAAGAAUGUCAGAAUCAAUGAGACCUCUAGUCUAGCAUGGUAGCUAGUAUACGACUCUGUAUGUAUAGGCUAUAUUAAUGAUACCCGAUGUGUAAUCUGUUUUGCUGUGUACAGAAGAUCCAGUUCCACUCUUAUACUGAACUGUGUAAUGAUUCAAGCUUUCACUCGACAUCUUGUACAAUGUAAUAAAGCCAUAUACAAUAUCAAGUCAAUAUUCAAUGAUUCCAAUCUACUGAAACAGAAAUGGAAAAUGGUCAAGUUUUAAGAAGAAACCCUUACCAAUCCUGACCAAUGAACACUCCUAAUGUCAUCUAUUGAAAUAAAAUGCACCAUGAUCUAGUUUGUAUUUUAAACUCUCUCUCUCUCUCUCUCUCUCUAAAUUGAAAAAUCGUACUUCCCCCUCCACUAUUGUGGAGAAGGGUUGAGUAGCCGACUCGCAGCAAAUAAGAGUUCACACUGUCUUGAAAUCAUACCAUAAUUAUUUCAUGUGGACGCAUUAUGUCUACCUGUCUACUUGUAAAUUGGACACUCAUUAUCAAAAAUAAUCAGUCAGCUUUAAACUGGACACAAGUACAAAUUAUAAUUAGAUGAUUUUUGGUGAUUUUAAAUGAUUUUUACAAAUUUUUAAACAAAAAUUUGAUAUUAAACAUAUGUGAAAGAAAUUAGUGCUAGAUACACAAGAUUAAAUGAUUCCUGGUUGUUGAUACAAGAUAUUUCGUAUCUUUCUGGAUUUUGAUAUAACCUGAUCCUUGUGUAAGUCAUGUUUAUAAGAUAAAUUUAUUUGUACUUUGUUUUAUAUUUUUCAGAUAAUUACACCAGCCCACCAGAUCUUCAAAAAGAGGGGCCAAUUAUAUUCAAAUAUUGAGUCUCUCUCUCUCUCUCUCUCUCAAUUAACAUGAUUUACCCCAGGGGGGUUGGAUGGCCGGUCUGUCAUUGAGUCAACUGGCGGGGUUUCGAUUCCCCGGUUGUACGUGACAAGGAGUAGGGAUGCCUGUCCAACCUUGUGGGUUUUCUCCGGGUCCGCCGGUUUCCUCCCACUUCUAAAGAUACCUACGGCCAAGCGAUUUAUUGAAAAAAAAUGGAACCAUGUAUUAGUCCCGAAACGACCUAGUUUGUUUCGAGUGGAUGUUAAACACCAUUUCUCUCAUCUUUCAUAGCAGCAUAACUAUAGCAAAUUAAUAAUGAAAUACUGAAAUAAUUUAAAUAUCGGUGAAUUCUCUAUACUUAUUAAAGAUGCAAUAUGUAAGGUUUUUUUUUUUGACUUCAAAUGAUAUAUAAAUUAAUAUUUAGACAUUUAUUUAGACUAUCAGAUGUAAACAGAUUGAAAUACAAUCGCUAUUUAAUGAUUUAAUUUUUAAAAAAUGAGUCUCGAUUAACAAGUAACGUUGCUAUGGUAAUAAACAAUCUAUGUCAAAACUUCAAACAGUUAUAAAGUCACACAGAAUAAAACAAUUUGAAUGAAAUUUUCAAUAUAAUUUAGUUCUGAAUGAUCUAUUUUUGAACUAUUAUAGCAAGAACGGUCAACUCUAUCUGAAUCUUACAUAAUGCAUCUUUAAUUGUGUAAUCCUGAUUUUAUUUUUAUCUUUUGAAUUUUUUAGUUUCUGUAAUUACAGGCCUGGAAAUAACGGUUUUAGAUGUACCUGACAAAAUGAAAUAGUACCGGACAUUUUCAACUUAGUGCCGGACAUGUAUUAAUAAUAUCAAUAAAAAAGACAAAUCAGCGCUGGACAAAAUGACAGGCACCAGAGGCUUUGUGUGCCUGACAUUGUCUGUGACAGGGGCCUUAUUUCCAGGCUUGUAAAUUUCCUAUUUCACUAUCCUAUAUAAUGUUUUAAAUUAUAACAAUUUUUGUAACAUACAUAUAUAUUUAUUUAUUAAAUUAUACAUUUACUUCA
Long non-coding RNA from Patella vulgata (common limpet), 3711 nucleotides. RefSeq lists it as uncharacterized. The transcript has 2 exons. NCBI's taxonomy places the organism in Eukaryota, Metazoa, Mollusca, Gastropoda, Patellidae. The record is from RefSeq and is a predicted model, not a curated record.